Triticum urartu is the source of this 584-nucleotide non-coding RNA. The record is from RefSeq and is a predicted model, not a curated record. Lineage: Eukaryota; Viridiplantae; Streptophyta; Magnoliopsida; Poales; Poaceae.
UGGAAGAGAACCAAGCCCCCAAAAAGAAAAGAAAGGCACCCUCCAGCGCACCUGUAAGCGCGAAUGAAGGACGUGUUUUGAGGUCUAGGGUAUCAAAAGAUCAAGAUCAUGUUGAUCCUGAGCAUCAGCCUUCCAAAGAGAUUACUCAUGAGCUUGAUGGUGAUGGUAGUCAAAAGAAAGGUGGAAGAAAAUUACUCGAAAGGCUAACAUAUAUGCAAGGCUGAAUCAACCCAAAAUCCAUAUUCCACUUAAUGGGGAUGGACAGCCUGUUGGGCCAGAUGCAACCGAAUUUGCUAAUUUCAUUGGUACUUUGGUGAGGAAGCAUAUACCACCUGCAGAGUUAGAUUGGCGAGAUGUUGAUGUAGAGAAAAAGUUGUUAGUGUGGGAGACCUUGAAGGCAUUUUAUGAGCUGGACUCAACUGCUUUGAGCUUUGUUAUCAACACUUCACACAUAAAAUGGAAGGAUUGGAAGUCAGAUUUAAAGAGGUACAAGUUUGAUGCUGCACUCACUGAUGCACAACUUAUGAAAAGACGUGACAGCAGAAUUAGUGAAGCUGACUGGAAGACCCUUAUUACUUAUUGGA